Molecule: small nuclear RNA, 79 nt
Filed under: Homo sapiens (human)
Lineage: Eukaryota; Metazoa; Chordata; Mammalia; Primates; Hominidae
Description: partial ncRNA
Source: RNAcentral
AAAGAAUCGCUUGCACCCGGGUGGUGGAGGUUGCAGUGAGCCAAGAUCAUGCCACUGCACUCCAGCCUGGGGGACAGAG